RNAcentral lists this ribosomal RNA (305 nucleotides) under uncultured bacterium. RNAcentral describes it as "bacterial SSU rRNA". It matches the Rfam family "Bacterial small subunit ribosomal RNA", at positions 337 to 659 of the family's 1533-position model. The record is from RNAcentral.
UCCUACGGGGGGCAGCAGUGGGGGAUAUUGCACAAUGGGGGGAACCCUGAUGCAGCGACGCCGCGUGGGUGAAGAAGCGCCUCGGCGCGUAAAGCCCUGUCAGCAGGGAAGAAAAUGACGGUACCUGAAGAAGAAGCCCCGGCUAACUACGUGCCAGCAGCCGCGGUAAUACGUAGGGGGCAAGCGUUAUCCGGAUUUACUGGGUGUAAAGGGAGCGCAGACGGCAGUGCAAGUCUGGAGUGAAAGCCCGGGGCCCAACCCCGGAACUGCUCUGGAAACUGUGCGGCUAGAGUACUGGAGGGGCA